CGAUAGUCCCGAAGUGUCGGGAGAAAAUUCUUUUAUGGCAGUCCCGAGGCUUCGGGAGCCAUAAAAGAUUGGAACGGAAAGCGGGAUUAGCU
Molecule: small RNA, 92 nt
Filed under: Flavobacterium sp. 9
Lineage: Bacteria; Pseudomonadati; Bacteroidota; Flavobacteriia; Flavobacteriales; Flavobacteriaceae
Description: Flavo-1 RNA
Source: RNAcentral